AAGACGUUAGUAAAACACAUUACCUAGCCUUGUCAAGACUAAAUUAUAGGUUCAAACCCUUUACGACUUA
RNAcentral lists this transfer RNA (70 nucleotides) under Batagur baska (four-toed terrapin). RNAcentral's name for it is "tRNA-Asp". It matches the Rfam family "tRNA". From Rfam's summary of the family: Transfer RNA (tRNA) molecules are approximately 80 nucleotides in length. Their secondary structure includes four short double-helical elements and three loops (D, anti-codon, and T loops). RNAcentral also lists the same sequence under 3 other names. Lineage: Eukaryota; Metazoa; Chordata; Testudines; Geoemydidae. The record is from RNAcentral.